AAGUCGUAACAAGGUUUCCGUAGGUGAACCUGCGGAAGGAUCAUUAAAGAUUCCGAGGCUCCGGCCUUGACUUUUUCAUUCAGCUGUGCGCUUUGGCUGCACGCUGGACGAUAAUCUCACACCUGUGCACCUUUUCGGUUGCGGUUUCGGCCGCUUCCGCUUUUACAUGCAACUACCGCAGUCCAGAAUGUGAUCUAAACUAUAAAGUAACAACUUUCAACAACGGAUCUCUUGGCUCUC
Molecule: unclassified non-coding RNA, 240 nt
Filed under: Auricularia angiospermarum
Lineage: Eukaryota; Fungi; Basidiomycota; Agaricomycetes; Auriculariales; Auriculariaceae
Description: partial internal transcribed spacer region
Rfam family: Eukaryotic small subunit ribosomal RNA (bases 1-46)
Source: RNAcentral